Non-coding RNA from Meleagris gallopavo (turkey), 2177 nucleotides. Lineage: Eukaryota; Metazoa; Chordata; Aves; Galliformes; Phasianidae. The record is from RefSeq and is a predicted model, not a curated record.
UUUUUUUUUGGUCAGGGUCCCUUUUCGGGAUGGUACCUGGGCUGGUGCCUGGCUGGGCAGCAUGGCCAUUGUGUCCAUCAGAGGGCUGUCACGUCCAGGCCCUGUUCUGCUGGCAGGGGAGCUCAGUUUCUCUGCCUUGUUCUCACAGCUGAUGGUGCUAAAGCGCUGUGCAAGCAGCAGGCUGUGGGGAGGGACAUUGGCUGGGCAUCCGCAGGGAGCUCUGACCCUUCACACAGCUGUAGAGGAAUGCAGAGGGUAAAGAAAGCAUUUUCUCCUGUUUCAGGAAUUACCUGAAUUUGAUCCUGAAAUUUUCCUGCAGGAAAAAGAAAAUUUUCUGUUGGUGGCUAAGCUUGAGCUUGUUACGCUUGCAGCUGCUGUGGUGAUGUUUCAUGAGCUUUAUCCUGGCUGUGUGCAGGAAGGGAAACUGCAUUGGACUUAUGUGAGACCUCAUGGUAGGGGAAAAACCUGGGUGCAGUGAAGGGCUGCUGGGGCUUCACAUCUCGUGGCUUUGACCCCAGGAUUUUUCAGAGCAGUGAUGUGCCUCUCCUCCUGCCUUGCUUGGGCCAUUUAGCAAGCAGUUGCUCAGCACUGACUUUGUAAAACUUAAAACAUGUAUUUUAUUUUUAGCAUUCUAAUUCGUGUUUAGAGGCCUAGGAGAUGGAUGGUUUUAGGGCAGUAGAUACAUGCUGAGGACUAGCUGAGCAGCUCCCUGAUUCUUAGAGGGUUGGAGACAACUUGUGUGAAGAGCUGGUAGAACUGGACACAGAACUAAUUGUGCUUUGGAAGCACACUUUUUUUCCCUGUCUCUGGACUGAGGACAUUGCUAUUUCCCAUGUCUGCUGGGUCAGUCUGCGUGUCUUAUGUGAGCUGCGGUCUGCUGGUGGAAAGUCAAGGGGAAAGCUGUCCUCAUCAGUCUUAAGCCCUGCUAAAUCUGGACAGAAAUCCUUUUCUGCCCCUGAGAACAGUGCACCCCUCAGGCACCAGCAGGCCUGGCGUGGUGUGGGCCAUCCCCGGGCAGACCUCAGGUACCCAAAUGGAGAGGCAUGGAUUGGUUUUGCUUUUUUUUUUUUUAAAUUUGCUUUUAAAUUGGUUAUGGUCCAGUGUUGAUAGAGUAACUGCAAUGGACCUUCAUGCUGCAUUUCAGCCCUUCUUCCCUUCCAAACCAAAGUCAUCUGCUUCUCCUAAAGAACAGCCGCCUCUGUAUCUUCUCUGACACUUCUGCAGGUAGGGAAAAGUAAUAAUUUUAGAUCUAGUUCUGCUGAUGUGUUUGUCUGUUCUCAGCACUAGUGUAAAUCUGGGUUUGAAUUAAGCCCAAAACCUAAUGUCUGAAAGUGCUAUUUCUCAGGACAUGUAGAAGCAGGAAUGCACAAAAUCAGUGUUUUCUCUAACUGCUGCUAAGUUUUCUUUACUGGUUAAUUUCAGCCCAGUGAUCUCCACAACCUGCAGAGCCCUCCUGCCUCAGGAUCCUGCCCUGCAGCUCCUGGCUGCUGGGCACCAGCACCUGAUGGGUGCUGGGUGUGCACCACCAUCCCCUUCUCCUCCCCUCCCUGCCUUGUGCUCCUGAGUCUGCUCAACCUCUUCAUUUGUCUUUCUCUGAUCUAAGGUGAUUUUCUGACUCUUUCAUUGUCCCCUGACAGCCAACUGCACAUCUCAGUGACAUCUCUGCUGGUUGUGUCUUGCCUGUGUGACAGGUCUGAAGCAGAUGUGAAAGACCAAACACACUGUCCCAAAGGAGAGGGCGAAUAUCCUGUCCCAUCGAAAGGGAGAGUGACCUGAUCUCAGGCUUGUUUUGGGCAAUGAGGGGCCACCCAGGGAUUUUGUUCACAGAACGGAAUGAGCUGCAAAAGGGAUAAAGAUCAUUCACAGGAACCUUGAAAGAACUGCUUGAGCUCCAUGAAAUGAAGAUUAAAAAUAAAACAGGGAGGGACAAUAAGUCAGUUGAUAACUGCGCUGUCAGCUGGUGUCACCACGAGGAUGUGAUGGGAGAAGGGUUGGAUCUGCAGGACCCUGUGCUGCAUGCGCAACCAUGGAGGAUGUCCUCACCACUGGUCAGUGCAAAAUUCACUGCAAGAUUAUUUAACUGGGUAUCAUCUUGUCCUUGUGCUGCUGCAAAAAAAACACUUGCAACAGAGUCUGCUUUUCAUUUGCUUAGUGCUGAUUUCUUUUUUUUUUUUUUU